UCUAAAUAUAAGUGACAAACAUCACCUUGUGUUUUCUGAGCAGGACGGAAAGGUGCAAGCUAAAAUGUGUUGUUAUGAUGCUAGUUGGCUUUGAAAUUACUUUUCAAACAAAGAUCGCUUUUGAUGAGACCUAAUCUGAUAUUCAUGCACAGAAAGUGAAGAUAUAGCAAGUAUACUUAAAGAAAACCAUGACUUAGAAAGCAGAACAGUUAUAUUUAUGUUUGUAGAGACUAGGAGAGAUAAUUAUCUUAGAAGUGAUUUAAAUGCACAGAAAGUAAGUGCCCAAUUUCCAAAGAAGAAUUAGAGAUCUCUAAAGCCUUUAUUAGAAAAUCCUUGUGUUCUUUUUAUGAAAUGUCAGUGAAAUGAGAGAUUGUCAUGACGUUAAACCAGAAUAAGAAUUUAAGGAAUGGAGAAAAGCAAUGAUGAAAAAAACUACAGUAAAGUCAAGGUCUAUACACCAAAGAUAGAAAAAAUGAGAAAAAUAAAUGGAAAGAAUGAAGCAAAAAGAGAGCCAUGAAAGAUACAAAGAGAUGUAUUUAGAAAGUAGAAGGAUCAAGACACUGUGUGCCUCAGAAAAAAAGAAGAUAUAAUUAAGCUAAAGAUUUUGAGAUGGAAUAAUUCAGAGGAGGAGAAGAUAUGAAGCAGAAGAGAAGAAUCCCAUGUGAAGAAGGGUACAAUGAUUGAAGUUACACAGGCGCAAGUUGAAAAGGCUGAAGCCAUCAGAAUGUGGAAGAGGUAAGGAAGGAUUCUACCCUACAGCCUUCAAAGGGAGCAUGACUUUGCUGACACCUUGAUUUUGGACUUCUGGCCUUGAGAACUGUAAUAUAAUAAAUUUCUGUUGUUUUAAGCUAUCAAGUUUAUUGCUAUUUGUUAAGAGAGCAGUAGGAAACUAACAGUAUGUAUAUUCCUUCUUUAGUGACAGUUACGAAGUAAAAAAAAAACAAGAGAAUAUGGAAACUGCUAUAUACUAAUGAUUUUUUUCUGCCCAUAUCCAUCUG
Molecule: long non-coding RNA, 998 nt
Filed under: Homo sapiens (human)
Lineage: Eukaryota; Metazoa; Chordata; Mammalia; Primates; Hominidae
Description: HSALNT0364697
Source: RNAcentral